Molecule: ribosomal RNA, 511 nt
Filed under: uncultured Diversisporaceae
Lineage: Eukaryota; Fungi; Glomeromycota; Glomeromycetes; Diversisporales
Description: SSU rRNA
Rfam family: Eukaryotic small subunit ribosomal RNA
Source: RNAcentral
AGCAGCCGCGGUAAUUCCAGCUCCAAUAGCGUAUAUUAAAGUUGUUGCAGUUAAAAAGCUCGUAGUUGAAUUUCGGGAUUCGUCCAUUGGUCAGGCUUAACUGUCUGUACUGGUGUGUCGGAUUUCUACCUUCUGAAGAACCUUCAUGCCAUUAAUUUGGUGUGUUGGGGAAUCAGGACUGUUACUUUGAAAAAUUAGAGUGUUUAAAGCAGGCUAACGUCUGAAUACAUUAGCAUGGAAUAAUGAAAUAGGACGGUACGGUUCUAUUUUGUUGGUUUCUAGGAUCGCCGUAAUGAUUAAUAGGGAUAGUUGGGGGCAUUAGUAUUCAAUUGUCAGAGGUGAAAUUCUUGGAUUUAUUGAAGACUAACUACUGCGAAAGCAUUUGCCAAGGAUGUUUUCAUUAAUCAAGAACGAAAGUUAGGGGAUCGAAGACGAUCAGAUACCGUCGUAGUCUUAACCAUUAAACUAUGCCGACUAGGGAUUGGACGAUGUUAAUUUUUUAAUGAACUCG